AUGGAACAACUUGAUGUCGAAGAUUGGGAGUAUUGGGGUGAUGAAUAUCUUGAAGAAGAACCAACUUAUGCAAUAAGACCUGGUACAAGAGUUGUGAAAGUUGAAAGAGUUCCAAUGAUGCGAGGAGAUUUAAGGACAAGCGGUGCCACGUCAUCAAGUGGUCCCGCCACGUCAUAUAUCAUCAGGCCCAGUGACAAGCAACCCACAGUUUCUAGUGGUGGAUCACAGAAUGGAGAUUCAGUUUGUGCUGUUUGUGGUGACGGAAUUGCAAAAUUACAUUAUGGAGUACUUGCAUGUUAUGGAUGUAAAGGAUUCUUUAGAAGAACACUGACUGGAAAAUAUCGAUAUGCAUGCAGAUUCUCAAAUAAUUGUAUUGUUGAUAAAUAUUUCAACGUUGUAUUCAAGCAGGAAUGGAUCCAAAAGCAGUCAGGCCGGAUAGGGAUCAGACAGGAAAACAGAAAGUUCCAAGAAUUAAGAAGAAGCAAAUUGAUGAGGAGCUUUUAAAUCAUAUGAUGCGGUUACAAGGAGAUGAUUGGUCACGAAAACUUCCUGUCGAGACUCGAAUUUUAUUAAUGCAAUUGAUGAGUAUUGAGGAUAAAGUAGUAAAAGGAGAUAAUAAUAUGAGUGCACAAAACACUGCAAAAGAUCCAAAAAGUAUUUCAUUACGGGAAAUGUUUGAAUCAAAACCUGCAUUAGAUGGUCGACGGAUGGAAAUUGGUUAUGAACCAUUUCGAAUGGCAAGAACUGAAGAACUUGGAGUAAUUGCUCAUAGAAGAGCAAUUGCAGCUGUUGAUUGGGUUGAUUCAUUAACUGAAAUUGCGGAUGCAGUUGAUACUGAAGAUAAAGUUGCAUUGGUUAAAAGUUGUUACUCGCCGUUAACUAUUUUCAAUUUCUCUGCGAGAACUGCUCAGAAUACGAAGAAUCCGGAUAUUUUGUGUCUUUGCAGUCAUUCAUUUGUUCCAAGAAGAUUGCCUCCAGAGUUUAAUGAGACAAAUCAUCUCUCAAACUUCCUGAUUGAUCGAACGUUAAAUGAAUUGGUGGCUCCAUUGAGAAAAUUAAAUCUGAAAGAAGAAGAAAUUGUUCCAUUAAAAGCAAUUAUUAUUUUAAAUCCAAAUGCAAAAGGACUAUCCGAGCAUGCGAGGCACGCGAUUUCUGAGUUGAGAGAUAAAGUUCAAGAUAUGCUUUUCCAAAUUGUCAAGGAGCUUCAUCCAAUCUAUUCUGCAAGCAGCCGAUUUGGAAACUUGUUGCUUCUUCUGCCAACAAUUACUACUCUUUCCGGAUUGAUGUCUGAAAACAUGCAUUUCUGUCAAGCUCUUGGAGGACGUGCAAGUGGAGAUAACUUGUUAGCUGAAAUGUUUGGAGAUAGAACAUUUGAUGAUCAACUUAUCAGCAGCAGCAUUAGCCCACCACUAUUCGAGAAUCCAGCUGAAAUUUGUUUAGAGAGUAUCUCACCGCCAAUGUCUGAUCGAAGAUUCGUGAGAAGGGUAGAUGUGGCAACACAGACAAAUGAUGAUUUGUUAUCAUCUGGACCAUAUCUUCCACAUUCAAAUUCAUGUAGCUCCAUGCUUAAUGCUGGAUACUCUCCUCCAAUGCUGUCAACAUCUCCAUUCCCACUUCUCGAUGACAAUGACAGUGCCUUCCAGAAUGACAUCAGUUUGACUGAGCUGAAUGGUUGUGAAGAGUUCUUCAGUCAACUUAUGGAUCAACCAAUCAUUGACAGCUAA
RNAcentral lists this unclassified non-coding RNA (1724 nucleotides) under Caenorhabditis elegans. Its description in RNAcentral is "Non-coding transcript of protein-coding gene nhr-31". Lineage: Eukaryota; Metazoa; Nematoda; Chromadorea; Rhabditida; Rhabditidae. The record is from RNAcentral.